Molecule: ribosomal RNA, 509 nt
Filed under: Glomus sp. Glo9
Lineage: Eukaryota; Fungi; Glomeromycota; Glomeromycetes; Glomerales; Glomeraceae
Also listed under: 1 other name
Description: SSU rRNA
Rfam family: Eukaryotic small subunit ribosomal RNA
Source: RNAcentral
AGCAGCCGCGGUAAUUCCAGCUCCAAUAGCGUAUAUUAAAGUUGUUGCAGUUAAAAAGCUCGUAGUUGAAUUUCGGGAUCAAUACGUCGGUCGUGCUUUCGGGUACGUACUGGCGUCAUUGGUUUCUCCUUUCUGACGAACCAUGAUGUCAUUAAUUUGGUGUUAUGGGGAGUUAGGACUGUUACUUUGAAAAAAUUAGAGUGUUUAAAGCAGGCAUUAGCUUGAAUACAUUAGCAUGGAAUAAUGAAAUAGGACGUUCGAUCCUAUUUUGUUGGUUUCUAGGAUCAACGUAAUGAUUAAUAGGGAUAGUUGGGGGCAUUAGUAUUCAAUUGUCAGAGGUGAAAUUCUUGGAUUUAUUGAAGACUAACUACUGCGAAAGCAUUUGCCAAGGAUGUUUUCAUUAAUCAAGAACGAAAGUUAGGGGAUCGAAGACGAUCAGAUACCGUCGUAGUCUUAACCAUAAACUAUGCCGACUAGGGAUCGGAUGAUGUUAAUUUUUUAAUGACUCA